UGGCAAUGUUAAAGCAACGACUACUUACUGUUUUUAUGCUUCGACAUACUUCUGUUAAAUUGGGGUGCAAUAGGCAUAAAAAGAAAAGCUGCGGAUGAAAUUGUGCACACUGCGGUAUGGAAACCCCUCCCUCAAAAAAAAAUUGUCUAUACAUGAGCGACCUCGCGAUAAUAAAUUAAUUGCAGAAUCAUUCUACUUUGUAUUGACUACGCCAAAGCGGUAAUGUCAAAUAUUGAUACUCCCUAGGGCAAUAUCGUCAACCACAAUCCGUAUCACCAUUUUAGAGAGUGAUAAUUAGCUUCUCACUAUAUACUCUAUCUGAGAGCCCCUCCCGCAAGGGCUAGCACGUAGGUUUUGUCAGUGGCACCAACAAUGGCUUCAAUCGCGCACAUCUUGAGGUGCGUGGGGAGGUUCUAUACUGGAUAAGAACGAGUUCACAGGAUGGCAGCUUGAAUAUCGGCCUCUGCAACGUCCGGCACAACUGGCUCCUAUAUCACCAGUCUGUCACGAUCGCAAUUUGCAAAAGUAUUUGAUUUCACGGUCAACUGUCUUCUCUAUUGCUUAUCGUUUCAUCAGCGAGAAAGCUCACAUAUCCAUCUCCCUCUUUGUCGUUACUGGUAUAUACCUAGGUACUCUUGCUCCUGAUGGCCAUCUAGCGGGUCUGAACCAUCGGCACACCCCAUGUCGCGUCUUGUUACCCUCGUAUAGUUCUUUUGCUCGCGUGAUGGGCCGCUGGACGCAAGUUUGCGAUGGUUGUCCUUGAUGAUAAUUACGCCUGUGUUCGGCUUCAUUAACGGCGCCUUGAUUGCCAAAUUUGGUACUACAUGCCGUGGUAUUUGGUGGGCGACCUGUUGACAGUAGCAGAAUCCGUCCUCAUGCCGUUAUGUAUGUCGCUGAGAAAGGCAUCAUGAGAGCCGAGUUUACGGAUACAAUGCACAGAGAGAAGUUUGCGUAAGGAUGAUCUGCCAGGCCUCUUUCCAAUUACACAAAUCGUGGUGGACCUAGGAAAGGUCGUACCGGCCAUUGGAUUCAUAACAUUAGUCUGGGGAGUACGGAACUACUGUUGCUAUUGUCGUUGCUACUCCAUCCUGUUCAACGGCCGCAAGGACCAGAUUGUGCAGGCUGCGUGACCUCUGGUCUGUUUAUUAGUCACAUACCUCGGCUCAUCACCGGCUUCUUCCUGCAUUGGUGUUGGUGAUGCUAUCUAACAUGUCUUCUGAAAUUAUGGACUUAAGUCCUGUCAGAUUGCGUUAUUCCGUUGCCAAAAUCUACAGCAAGGGGCGUCAAUCAAGAUUCAUCCGCCCAAAAUUUGCAGGCCACCGACACAAGCAGGCAGCAUUCCAAUUGACCCUGAAUCCGGCAGCUAAGGGAGGAUCAGCCGGACGUCACACUUAAAAUUAACCACAGCUUGAGCUCAAUGGACGGAUCCCUUCAAACCUACACAACAAUGCACUUCUACAUAAUUGCAACACAGAGCGGGAGGCUGGCACAAAACCUAGCUGUCAAUGAGAUGAAACAGACACGUGAGAAACCAACUUGGAAACGUAGAUUGUCUUGAUAAAUUCUCAAAUACACAUGGCUAUACUUGACAAACACUUGAGAUUUUGUAUACAAUAACAAGAUUGGUAUUAGCAACUUAAACUAGAUUGAGUCUCUUGGCCCAACUUCCUAAUUGAUGAAGGGCAUAUGCGAUGAAACGGUUAGAUAUAGGAAUCAACAUCACCCAUAAAUAAGGAGGCGACGAUUUCAAGCAAGACCUAGAGCUUUCGCUUCAAGAGUGACAAUAUCAGGUAGAAGCUCACGGGCAGCUAGUCGAUGCGGAUUCCAACCAAGAAGUUUCCUCGCACGAAUCGCAUGGGCUCUCGAAUUAGUUCCCCAUGAGAAAGGCCCGAAUGCAAAUAAAUCUGCUGUUUGCUUGCCAUCCAGAAUUUCCACCUCUGGGGAGGCGAUAAAUCCUUUCUCAAAAGCAAUCUUCGCUACUGCCUUCUCCACAUCGCCCCAAACGAACGACCCAUUUUCUACAAAAUAAUACCCUUCCUUUCCCCAAGUCGCCUUCCCGCCGCCAGCAGCCGCAGCCUCGCCAAGGAGGAGGAAUAGAUCACUCAAAUCAUGAACAUGGAUCUGGUGCCAGACAUUCUCGCCUUUGCCUACUUGAAGCCCCUUCUUUCUCUUAAGAACAUAUUUUGCCAGAUUAUAUAUUUGAGCACUUCGAGUAUUUCCCGGCCCUCGCCCGGGGCCAUAUAUAGUGGGUGGGCAAACAAUGGCUGUCUUCACCCUAUCGGCAGCAGCCUCACCGACUCCCAAGACGAUCUUGUCGACGUCUCGAUGGAAAGCUUCGUCGGGAAGAGACGUCACAUCACCAAUACCGUCCCAGUCAUCGUAUUCUUUCGGACGAAGAUCUCCGUAGGUCGAAUUGCCUAAAUCCUCGAAUGUGAGAAUACCCGUUCCCGAAGUGUGGAUCCAGUAGCCUGGGCGAUCGGAUGUAUGGGAAGCUAUGCCCUUUGCAAUGGCUUGUGACGAAGCAACAUGGUCACAGUCUGCAAAGUCUGUUCAAAUAAAACAAAUUGAAAAAUUAAAAAAAAAAAAAAAAUUAGCAAGCAUUUCCUAAAAUAUUAGAAGCAUGCCAUGCAAGGGAGGCCGUACGGUAGACGAUAUCUGCCUUUCGUGCCUCUUCUUCAAGAAUCGUAGCGGAAUCCAGAUCCCCGUACACAAGUUUGGUCUUUGGAUAUUUGCUAGUAACCAACGCGCCUUUCUCUUGAUUGCGGACGAGGGCAGUGAACUCCCAAUCCGGAUGGGCUUCAUUG
This 2804-nucleotide small RNA is filed under the name Histoplasma capsulatum var. duboisii H88. RNAcentral describes it as "Histoplasma capsulatum H88 hypothetical RNA". Lineage: Eukaryota; Fungi; Ascomycota; Eurotiomycetes; Onygenales; Ajellomycetaceae. The record is from RNAcentral.